AUUCCAGCUCCAAUAGCGUAUAUUAAAGUUGUUGCAGUUAGAACGCUCGUAGUCGGAUUUCGGGGCGGGCCGACCGGUCUGCCGAUGGGUACGCACUGGUCGGCGCGUCCUUCCUUCCGGAGACCGUGCCUACUCUUAACUGAGCGGGGGCGGGAGACGGAUCGUUUACUUUGAAAAAAUCAGAGUGUUUCAAGCAGGCAGCUCGCUCUUGCAUGGAUUAGCAUGGGAUAAUGAAAUAGGACUUUGGUGCUAUUUUGUUGGUUUCGAACACCGAAGUAAUGAUUAAAAGGGACAGUCAGGGGCACUCGUAUUCCGCCGAGAGAGGUGAAAUUCUCAGACCAGCGGAAGACGAACCACUGCGAAAGCAUUUGCCAGGGAUGUUUUCAUCA
This 389-nucleotide ribosomal RNA is filed under the name Chrysochromulina sp. Its description in RNAcentral is "partial small subunit ribosomal RNA". It matches the Rfam family "Eukaryotic small subunit ribosomal RNA", at positions 582 to 975 of the family's 1831-position model. Lineage: Eukaryota; Haptophyta; Prymnesiales; Chrysochromulinaceae. The record is from RNAcentral.